Molecule: long non-coding RNA, 639 nt
Organism: Momordica charantia (bitter melon)
Lineage: Eukaryota; Viridiplantae; Streptophyta; Magnoliopsida; Cucurbitales; Cucurbitaceae
Source: RefSeq, a predicted model, not a curated record
GAACCCCUCAAGCGGCGACUUCUCUUCUCCCCACGGUGACGUAGCAAGGCGGACAACGGCAUAGCAGGGCAGACAACGACGUAGAAGGACAGCCGACGCGUUUCUACUCUAGUUUUUGCGGCGGUUUGUGGCGGAGUACGGCUGACGGCAGUGUUUUGACACUCUCUUGAUUUUUUAGUAACAACCGACCCCUAGCAACUUAAUUUAGGAGGUCCACACCCUUGUGGCGACGACAACGGCUGUCGAGGUGUUUUCCUUCUUUUUUGCUGCUGUAAAACGUCGAAAGAAAAAAAACAUAGUCCUUGGUGUUCGCCGUUUACUCACUUCCAUUCGAGGCUUGAUUCGCGCUACCCACACCUAUUCGAACUAGGUCUAAGCUACCCACUCCCAAUCGAAGUCAAUUUCGAGGUGUUGAAUCAAUGCAAGAUUUAGGAGCGUGGCAGUGGGUAAGCAGUACUAGGGGCGGGUGCGUGAGUGAUUGUGUGUUGAUGUUAUCGAAUAAGUUUUUGCGUUGUUAUUUUUCAUUACUCUCAACUUGUAUGUCUACUUCUAUUAAUCAAUGCAGGCUUUGUGUCUUGUUGUGCUUGACUCUGUAAAUGAUACUAUUAUAUUUGUCAAGGUUGGACUUGGUUUUCUUAA